RNAcentral lists this ribosomal RNA (464 nucleotides) under uncultured Klebsiella sp. Its description in RNAcentral is "bacterial SSU rRNA". It matches the Rfam family "Bacterial small subunit ribosomal RNA", at positions 338 to 795 of the family's 1533-position model. The record is from RNAcentral. Lineage: Bacteria; Pseudomonadati; Pseudomonadota; Gammaproteobacteria; Enterobacterales; Enterobacteriaceae.
CCUACGGGUGGCUGCAGUGGGGAAUAUUGCACAAUGGGCGCAAGCCUGAUGCAGCCAUGCCGCGUGUGUGAAGAAGCCUUCGGGUUGUAAAGCACUUUCAGCGGGGAGGAAGGCGUUAAGGUUAAUAACCUUGUCGAUUGACGUUACCCGCAGAAGAAGCACCGGCUAACUCCGUGCCAGCAGCCGCGGUAAUACGGAGGGUGCAAGCGUUAAUCGGAAUUACUGGGCGUAAAGCGCACGCAGGCGGUCUGUCAAGUCGGAUGUGAAAUCCCCGGGCUCAACCUGGGAACUGCAUUCGAAACUGGCAGGCUAGAGUCUUGUAGAGGGGGGUAGAAUUCCAGGUGUAGCGGUGAAAUGCGUAGAGAUCUGGAGGAAUACCGGUGGCGAAGGCGGCCCCCUGGACAAAGACUGACGCUCAGGUGCGAAAGCGUGGGGAGCAAACAGGAUUAGAUACCCCGGUAGUC